Molecule: RNase P RNA, 168 nt
Filed under: Streptococcus pneumoniae
Lineage: Bacteria; Bacillati; Bacillota; Bacilli; Lactobacillales; Streptococcaceae
Description: partial RNase P RNA component class B
Rfam family: Bacterial RNase P class B
About the family: Ribonuclease P (RNase P) is a ubiquitous endoribonuclease, found in archaea, bacteria and eukarya as well as chloroplasts and mitochondria.
Source: RNAcentral
AUUUUUGGAUAAUCGCGUGAGGAGAAUUGCUUCUCAUGAGGAAAGUCCAUGCUAGCACAGGCUGUGAUGCCUGUAGUGUUUGUGCUAGGCGAAACCAUAAGCCUAGGGACGAGAAAUCGUUACGGCAGUUGAAAUGGCUAAGUCCUUGGAUAGGCCAGAGUAGACUUG